RNAcentral lists this long non-coding RNA (630 nucleotides) under Brachypodium distachyon (stiff brome). RNAcentral's name for it is "long non-coding RNA (BDIS_LNC003566)". The record is from RNAcentral. Lineage: Eukaryota; Viridiplantae; Streptophyta; Magnoliopsida; Poales; Poaceae.
GUGGACGAGAUGGUGGCGCGGAUGCAGGGCAAGGUUGACGAAGCCGAAGCCGCUGACGAGGAGGUUGCCAGGGAACCUCCUGACGCCGACACAGCCGCCCCGGAGUGCCUCUUGCAUGAUUGUCUACUUUUUCGUUUUUUUUAUUUCCCUGCGAGUGGCGCAUGGCGCCUUAGAACUUUUUGUGUUAGCUUUCCCUUGUCAUCACAAGUGUAAUUUGUUAACUCGUUUGCUCAAGCUUCAUUAUAUCCAAUGCUACUUUUACUUGCUUCUUUGCCUAAAACUAGCUUGCCGGGGAGGGGCUCUGUCCUUCUCGUGUUUUAUCCUUGCGUAUCCGGGGACUCGCCAACCGUAUGAUUGGCCAGACUAGGGAACCGGGAAGGACCCGCGGUGCCGACCUAGGACCAAACAGCAACGGCUAGUCACUCCGCCUGCCGGUUAACUCCCCCAGCGCGCAUGCCUCCGGGACGAACCUCGCGAGCCACGUGUGGGGCGCGUCCUCACCCUGCAAGCGUCCUUCCUACGCUCCGGCAACACGGGGACCGAGCUUACCUUGGCAAACCAGCGCUACUAAAGGAAGAGCCAAGGACCGAAAACAAAGUACUUAGCUUCCCGCUCUCUUUGGUCUUGCAG